This 835-nucleotide ribosomal RNA is filed under the name Candidatus Phytoplasma fraxini. RNAcentral describes it as "bacterial SSU rRNA". It matches the Rfam family "Bacterial small subunit ribosomal RNA", at positions 388 to 1230 of the family's 1533-position model. Lineage: Bacteria; Bacillati; Mycoplasmatota; Mollicutes; Acholeplasmatales; Acholeplasmataceae. The record is from RNAcentral.
CGAGCAACGCCGCGUGAACGAUGAAGUAUUUCGGUAUGUAAAGUUCUUUUAUUGAAGAAGAAAAAAUAGUGGAAAAACUAUCUUGACGUUAUUCAAUGAAUAAGCCCCGGCUAACUAUGUGCCAGCAGCCGCGGUAAGACAUAGGGGGCGAGCGUUAUCCGGAAUUAUUGGGCGUAAAGGGUGCGUAGGCGGUUAGGAAAGUCUAUAAUUUAAUUUCAGUGCUUAACGCUGUCUUGUUAUAGAAACUACCUUGACUAGAGUUAGAUAGAGGCAAGCGGAAUUCCAUGUGUAGCGGUAAAAUGUGUAAAUAUAUGGAGGAACACCAGAAGCGUAGGCGGCUUGCUGGGUCUUGACUGACGCUGAGGCACGAAAGCGUGGGUAGCAAACAGGAUUAGAUACCCUGGUAGUCCACGCCGUAAACGAUGAGUACUAAGUGUCGGGAUAAAACUCGGUACUGAAGUUAACACAUUAAGUACUCCGCCUGAGUAGUACGUACGCAAGUAUGAAACUUAAAGGAAUUGACGGGACUCCGCACAAGCGGUGGAUCAUGUUGUUUAAUUCGAAGAUACACGAAAAAUCUUACCAGGUCUUGACAUGCUCUGCAAAGCUAUAGAAAUAUAGUGGAGGUUAUCAGGGACACAGGUGGUGCAUGGUUGUCGUCAGUUCGUGUCGUGAGAUGUUAGGUUAAGUCCUAAAACGAGCGCAACCCUUGUCGUUAGUUACCAGCACGUAAUGGUGGGCACUUUAACGAGACUGCCAAUUAAACAUUGGAGGAAGGUGAGGAUUACGUCAAAUCAUCAUGCCCCUUAUGAUCUGGGCUACAAACGUGAUACAA